ACGGAAGGCAGCAGUGGGGAAUAUUGGGCAAUGGGCGCAAGCCUGACCCAGCAACGCCGCGUGAAGGAUGAAGGUCUUCGGAUUGUAAACUUCUUUAAUCGGGGAAGAAAAAAAUGACCUACCCGAAGAAUAAGCCACGGCUAACUACGUGCCAGCAGCCGCGGUAAUACGUAGGUGGCAAGCGUUAUCCGGAUUUACUGGGUGUAAAGGGCGCGUAGGCGGGGAUGCAAGUCAGGUGUGAAAUCUAUGGGCUUAACCCAUAAACUGCAUUUGAAACUGUAUCUCUUGAGUGUCGGAGAGGUAGAUGGAAUUCCUAGUGUAGCGGUGAAAUGCGUAGAUAUUAGGAGGAACACCAGUGGCGAAGGCGAUCUACUGGACGAUAACUGACGCUGAGGCGCGAAAGCGUGGGGAGCAAACAGGAUUAGAUACCCUGGUA
This 436-nucleotide ribosomal RNA is filed under the name uncultured Oscillospiraceae bacterium. Its description in RNAcentral is "bacterial SSU rRNA". It matches the Rfam family "Bacterial small subunit ribosomal RNA", at positions 341 to 792 of the family's 1533-position model. Lineage: Bacteria; Bacillati; Bacillota; Clostridia; Eubacteriales; Oscillospiraceae. The record is from RNAcentral.